AAUAAGAUGGCUGAAGAAUUUAGGCGGUAGAUUGUAAAUUUAUAUAUGAGCUUGAUAAGCUCUCUUAUUA
Molecule: transfer RNA, 70 nt
Filed under: Pentacheles laevis
Lineage: Eukaryota; Metazoa; Arthropoda; Malacostraca; Decapoda; Polychelidae
Description: tRNA-Tyr
Source: RNAcentral